This is a long non-coding RNA of Marmota flaviventris (yellow-bellied marmot), 562 nucleotides long. RefSeq lists it as uncharacterized. The record is from RefSeq and is a predicted model, not a curated record. Lineage: Eukaryota; Metazoa; Chordata; Mammalia; Rodentia; Sciuridae.
CCUCAGCCUGCCGGGUUGCUGAGAUUACAGCAGCACACCACACCACAGCCUGGAUGUGGGAAAGACCCAAGCUCCUGUAAGCGGGUCAAACUGGUCAGUGGGAAACGCCCUAAAGCCAUGUGCCAAGGAGGUGGGCUUCCAGCAAGACCGUGCCUGCUGCACAGGGUCCAGGCUGCGGAAGUCAGUGCUGCCACGCGGCCAGCCAAGAGUGACCCACCUCCACAGCGCACUGCAGAUGCUACCAGGCAGGCCGGCCGACAAAAGCAAGGAGUAAACAAAAAACAAAACACACUCAGUAGAUUUCUUUAGCUCCCAGAGUUUCUGGACCAACAAGUCCCAACCCCCAAGCCAGGAUCGAGGGGACCUAAAAACACCCCCCCUCCCACCAGUGCCGACCGAACCCUGUUUUUAAAUUAAAAAAUAAGCCAGUAUACAUCGUAGAAAAUUUUCUCUUAAAAAUCUCACAAUUUGUAAAUGUAUAUUUUUUCUUUAACAUAAAAGUUUACAAUAUACGGUAAAACAAAAGGCUCAGGAAAAUAAUUUCGGAAAAAAAAAAAAAAAA